Molecule: transfer RNA, 86 nt
Filed under: Bacteroidetes bacterium HGW-Bacteroidetes-9
Lineage: Bacteria; Pseudomonadati; Bacteroidota
Description: tRNA-Leu
Rfam family: tRNA
About the family: Transfer RNA (tRNA) molecules are approximately 80 nucleotides in length. Their secondary structure includes four short double-helical elements and three loops (D, anti-codon, and T loops).
Source: RNAcentral
GGGGGUGGCAGAGCGGCUUAUCGCGACCGACUUAAAAUCGGUUAUACCUUCGGGUAUCACGGGUUCGAAUCCCGUUCCCCCCGCCA